This 322-nucleotide ribosomal RNA is filed under the name uncultured eukaryote. Its description in RNAcentral is "partial 18S ribosomal RNA". It matches the Rfam family "Eukaryotic small subunit ribosomal RNA", at positions 1470 to 1796 of the family's 1831-position model. The record is from RNAcentral.
CCCUUAGAUGUUCUGGGCUGCACGCGCGCGACAAUGACGUUUGCAACGAGAUUGCGAGGCCGUCAGGUCGAGCUGAUCUUGCAAGCUGCGUCGUGAUAGGGACAGUCGAUUGCAAUUAUUCGACUCGAACGAGGAAUUCCUUGUAAUCGCGCAUCAUCAGUGCGCGCUGAAUACGUCCCUGCCCUUUGUACACACCGCCCGUCGCUCCUACCGAUUGAGUGAUCCGGUGAGUGUUUUGGAUCGGCUUCAAGUUGGUUCGCGCCUCUUGCUUGCUGUGAAAUCAUGUAAACCUUAUUGCUUAGAGGAAGGAGAAGUCGUAACA